This 253-nucleotide ribosomal RNA is filed under the name uncultured bacterium. Its description in RNAcentral is "partial 16S ribosomal RNA". It matches the Rfam family "Bacterial small subunit ribosomal RNA", at positions 524 to 776 of the family's 1533-position model. The record is from RNAcentral.
UACGGAGGGUCCGAGCGUUGUCCGGAAUUAUUGGGCGUAAAGAGCUCGUAGGCGGUUUGUCGCGUCUGCCGUGAAAGUCCGGGGCUCAACUCCGGAUCUGCGGUGGGUACGGGCAGACUAGAGUGAUGUAGGGGAGACUGGAAUUCCUGGUGUAGCGGUGAAAUGCGCAGAUAUCAGGAGGAACACCGAUGGCGAAGGCAGGUCUCUGGGCAUUAACUGGCGCUGAGGAGCGAAAGCAUGGGGAGCGAACAGG